This 688-nucleotide ribosomal RNA is filed under the name uncultured Geobacter sp. Its description in RNAcentral is "bacterial SSU rRNA". It matches the Rfam family "Bacterial small subunit ribosomal RNA", at positions 164 to 831 of the family's 1533-position model. The record is from RNAcentral. Lineage: Bacteria; Pseudomonadati; Thermodesulfobacteriota; Desulfuromonadia; Geobacterales; Geobacteraceae.
UAAUACCUGAUAAGCCCACGAUCUCUUCGGAGAAUGCGGGAAAAGGGGGGGACCUUCGGGCCUUCUGUCAUCAGAUGAGUCUACGUACCAUUAGCUAGUUGGUGGGGUAAAGGCCCACCAAGGCUACGAUGGUUAGCUGGUCAGAGAGGAUGAUCAGCCACACUGGAACUGAGACACGGUCCAGACUCCUACGGGAGGCAGCAGUGGGGAAUUUUGCGCAAUGGGGGAAACCCUGACGCAGCAACGCCGCGUGAGUGAUGAAGGCCUUCGGGUCGUAAAGCUCUGUCAGAGGGAAAGAAAUGUGGGGCGCUAAUACCGCUUCCACUUGACGGUACCCUCAAAGGAAGCACCGGCUAACUCCGUGCCAGCAGCCGCGGUAAUACGGAGGGUGCGAGCGUUGUUCGGAAUUAUUGGGCGUAAAGCGCGUGUAGGCGGUUUUAUAAGUCUGAUGUGAAAGCCCUGGGCUCAACCUGGGAAGUGCAUUGGAUACUGUAAGACUUGAGUACGGGAGAGGGCAGUGGAAUUCCUAGUGUAGGAGUGAAAUCCGUAGAUAUUAGGAGGAACACCGGUGGCGAAGGCGGCUGCCUGGACCGAUACUGACGCUGAGACGCGAAAGCGUGGGUAGCAAACAGGAUUAGAUACCCUGGUAGUCCACGCCGUAAACGAUGAGUACUAGGUGUCGCGGGUA